AAAGAGAGGCAAAGCCGCGAGGCGGAGCGAAUCUCAAAAAGCCGUCCCAGUUCGGAUUGCAGGCUGCAACCCGCCUGAAUAAAGUUGGAAUCGCUAGUAAUCGCGGAUCAGCAUGCCGCGGUGAAUACGUUCCCGGGCCUUGUACACACCGCUCGUCAAACCAUGAGAGUUGGCAACACCCGAAGUCGGUAGUCUAACCGCAAGGAGGACGCCGCCGAAGGUGGGGUUGAUGAUUAGGGUUAAGUCGUAACAAGGUAAC
This 259-nucleotide ribosomal RNA is filed under the name uncultured bacterium. RNAcentral describes it as "partial 16S ribosomal RNA". It matches the Rfam family "Bacterial small subunit ribosomal RNA", at positions 1241 to 1500 of the family's 1533-position model. The record is from RNAcentral.